This 736-nucleotide ribosomal RNA is filed under the name Lactiplantibacillus plantarum subsp. plantarum. RNAcentral describes it as "bacterial SSU rRNA". It matches the Rfam family "Bacterial small subunit ribosomal RNA", at positions 340 to 1069 of the family's 1533-position model. The record is from RNAcentral. Lineage: Bacteria; Bacillati; Bacillota; Bacilli; Lactobacillales; Lactobacillaceae.
UGCCAGAGCGCGAGAGAUAGAUCUUCCACAAUGGACGAAAGUCUGAUGGAGCAACGCCGCGUGAGUGAAGAAGGGUUUCGGCUCGUAAAACUCUGUUGUUAAAGAAGAACAUAUCUGAGAGUAACUGUUCAGGUAUUGACGGUAUUUAACCAGAAAGCCACGGCUAACUACGUGCCAGCAGCCGCGGUAAUACGUAGGUGGCAAGCGUUGUCCGGAUUUAUUGGGCGUAAAGCGAGCGCAGGCGGUUUUUUAAGUCUGAUGUGAAAGCCUUCGGCUCAACCGAAGAAGUGCAUCGGAAACUGGGAAACUUGAGUGCAGAAGAGGACAGUGGAACUCCAUGUGUAGCGGUGAAAUGCGUAGAUAUAUGGAAGAACACCAGUGGCGAAGGCGGCUGUCUGGUCUGUAACUGACGCUGAGGCUCGAAAGUAUGGGUAGCAAACAGGAUUAGAUACCCUGGUAGUCCAUACCGUAAACGAUGAAUGCUAAGUGUUGGAGGGUUUCCGCCCUUCAGUGCUGCAGCUAACGCAUUAAGCAUUCCGCCUGGGGAGUACGGCCGCAAGGCUGAAACUCAAAGGAAUUGACGGGGGCCCGCACAAGCGGUGGAGCAUGUGGUUUAAUUCGAAGCUACGCGAAGAACCUUACCAGGUCUUGACAUACUAUGCAAAUCUAAGAGAUUAGACGUUCCCUUCGGGGACAUGGAUACAGGUGGUGCAUGGUGUCGUCAGCUCCGUACGCG